Neltuma alba is the source of this 469-nucleotide long non-coding RNA. RefSeq lists it as uncharacterized. The record is from RefSeq and is a predicted model, not a curated record. NCBI's taxonomy places the organism in Eukaryota, Viridiplantae, Streptophyta, Magnoliopsida, Fabales, Fabaceae. The transcript is spliced from 2 exons.
AUAUAGAUAUAUAUAGGGUGAGUAAUACUGAUAUAUUAUUGAGGUCAUAAGGGUAAUAUACACAUAUAAUAUACGGUUAGGUCUUGUUAUUUCCAACCACAAAGCAAGCACGGCAUUGUCAUUUUCAAAGCCACAGCGAUCUGCUUCCUCACGACUGAGCAAAGAAGUCGAUGGCCACUUAAUCUCUGGGAUUACACACACGAGAUUUUAAUAUUAUGGAUUAUGAAGUGUAAAGCUCGGCUGUUUAAUCAGGUUGCCUUAAAAAAAAUGAAGACGACAUAACAUGUUUGUAUCAUUAAUCAGUCUGUGAAAUUCCUUUGCAGAAAUUGAAUCUACCAGAUAUUCUUAUCUGUUCCAGAUUCCUUUGUAGAACCUCACAUUCCCUCGCCAAUUAAGCCUAGCUGAAUAGUGCCCAAAUGGGUGUUUGUUUUAUAUAUAUAUAUAUAUAUAUAUAUAUAUAUUGCCGAAA